UGCACAUGCCCGAGGCUCGCUUUAUUGGUGUGUACUGCGCCUCAGCUGCCCAAGAGGUCAGCGCGUUGCUGCUCACAUAUCCGCGCCUCGCGCCAUUUCUAAAACUCUACAGACAGGAGGGAGGGCGCGUACACGUCUAGAGGCACUACGGACAUGUGCGUCGAUACAGAUGGAUCUUGCACCGCGAUAGAGUACAAGCGUACGCGUAAUAACCUCUGGUUCCACAGAAGCUACGAGUAGAGGGAGUGACGAGAAGGGCCGCAGCCUGCAGCGCUUCCUCAUCUUCAUGUUCUUCACUGUGGGGAUCCUUCUACGCUGAAGCGGCCAUCAGUGCCAUUGAACAUACUGGCGUGAUUGUUCGCCGAGGAAUAGAGCUUACCUGCUCACGUGCGCCUUACUCAGGAGCUGCCUCGAUGCAUUAUGUCGUUCCCUCUGCCGCUUCUUCGACCUGUUCUCGAGGACUUGCCGGCUGUGCCUUCGAUGGCUGGCGUCGUCGCUUCAGCUGAGCAGGGAGCCGCGGGAGACUCGCAGCCAUCAGGGGGAGAGGCUGCCCGCGUCUUGGAGGCGCCAAAGCCUGUCCACGCCUCCGCCCCAACGUCUUCCUUCUCAAAUGGCGAGACUCCUGUGCACGCAAGUGACAACUGCGGCGGCGUCACCGUGGACGCCUCAGAGAUCGGUGAAUCGCAUCGUCUGCAGCGACGGCAGGACUAUGGGAAGACACCCAUCGCGCUUUCGGCUUUACCAGAACGGCCAGUGUUGAGAGUCGUCGCGGGAGAUGGCAGCGGGCGUGCUUCAUCCGCUGCCGGCAGCGUUCACCCCGAGGAAGGCGACGGGAGCGAAACUGGCUCGCCGACGACGUCCCCGGUGCAGGGUGUAUGGACGCAGCAUGUCUACUCUCAGCCUACCUCUGCAGGUAGAGACAACAGCGUGGUGGUGCUGUCUGAUGCGGCGGCUCGUAUGAUUGCGCACGCAGUGCAUCGCUCCUCACUGCUACAGCAGUGCUUCAUGCAAUGGCAGGUGCAGCAAGCACGCCAUGCGCAGCAGCGCCUGCGUCGCGAAUGCUUCGCCGAGGGCUACUACCAGCGCAACCUCUUGUACCUCUUCUUCCGCGCGUGGCAGUGGCGCUAUGAUCGACGCGUGACAUGUGCGGAGCAGCGAAGAAUGCUCGAGGCACUGCGCGCGCGUCAUCUUCGCCGCCGUGCGUUUGUUGCGUGGCAGGGGUGGAAAGACGCGCGAAGGAGGCUGCGGGGAAUACUCGAUGAGAUGCAGGUGAGGACGGGAGCGGCUCUCACCCGGCAGUGCUUCGAGCGGUGGCAUCGCACGUCAGCACAUCGGGCCCUCGCACGGGCAGCGGCGCAGGCGUCGGCGGAUAACUUACGAGAUGCGCGAUUUCGCGACUGGCGGCACUUUGCCCUUCAACGCCAAAAGGGCCGCCUCUUGGCGAGCGUCUUGAUGCUUCACACGCCCGUCGCGUGGACUGCAGCUCAGCAAAGUCGUUGCGAUGAACUGCAUCUGCUCUAUGCGUGGGUUCAGUGGCUGCGAGUGGCGAUGCAGCGCCGCGCGUGCCAGUUGCGCAAGUGCGAAAGUGCCCUAUCAACCGUGGCGAUGCGCGCGGAGAAGGCUCUUCGACGGAGAUGGUACGUAUGGUGGCUUCAGGUCACGUGCGCGUCUCUUCAGUCGAGGCACACACGGCGCGGACUUCUUCAGAGGUACUACAAGAGCUGGACCCUCUUAGGCCGUCUUUGUCUGAUAAGACUGCAGUGGGAGAGGGAAACCCACUCGCCGCACGUGCAGCGUCGAUGCCUUGCGCACUGGUGCGGUCGUUUAGGAGGGCGCCGAACCAGGCGUGAGCAUCUGCGAAUGGCGGAGCUCUUCUUUGAGUCUGUCGUGCAGGCGCACGCCGCGCGCGCCGCUUUUUGCUGCUGGCGCGCCCUGCAUCUCAGUCGCGCAAAGGCUCAGCGAAUGCGCCGUGUGGCAGAAGGGUACGCGAGACCGGCGCUGCUGAGGCACCUGUUUCUGCGUCACAUCACGGACGGCGUGCUGGCGUCACCGACAGGGCUGGCAGAUGCGCUGGAGUAUGAGGCAUGGCACCGAGGUGCCGACGCAAAGGUGGUGAAGCCGAAGAGCAUUACCAUCGCCUCGAGUGAGAAGAGUACCCUCGACGCCUCCACAAAGACAUCGGGGACCUCCUCAACGCGUCUUCGACCACCGAUCCCCCUUCACCACCCCCGUCACGCUCCCACGAGGGGCCUCAGCGUCCCUGCAGCGCCCCCUGAGGCGCCUCUUGGGCCUGACUGGACGUCAAACCCAAGUGAGGCGGCGGGAACGACACGGCCGAUAACAGCCUCAGCCGCUGAGCAUCUUGCCGACAUGGAGGUGUUGCUGCCACCGCCGCCUUCGUACGAGGAAGUGACGAGCUCUUGGCGUUCGACGGACGCGAGCGGCCGAAUGGGGGCGUGCGCUCUGCCGGUGCGCGCGGAUGUUGGUGUGGGCACCAGCUGCGAGGCGCCUACGCCACUGCAGUGCGCGACUCCGCGCAUAAGCAGCGCGGGUGACCGCUCGGCCGCACGCCCGGAUGCCGUCCAUCAGCGGGAGGAAGCUGCGCCGCCUCCGGUGUCUACGGUGCCUGGCCGAGGCAUGCCGCCUGCCGGUGCGCCAAACGUGUGGCCAGCAGCAGUUCCUUGCUACGCCGUCCCAAACGGUGCCCCAGGUAGCUGGGCCUUCGGGUUUGUCGCUACAAGGAGUGGGUGGCAGACUCUGGACACCCUUGUCCCGCCGUCGGCAUCUGUUACUCCACUCGCAAGCACCAUGCCUUCAUAUUGCAGCCUUCAUUGCGCGCCUCCGACAGGUGACGCUGUCUCGGCCGCGGUCGAGUCCCCUUCAUGCGCUGCUUUCAGUAGGUUUUGCGCUGAAGGUGCCGCUCAGCUUUCUGCUGGCGAAUAUGGACCAGGAGCACCCGCCGCACUCCCCUCACCAGCUGUUCCUCUGCUAUCUGAGGGACUCUUUCCAGCACCGCCGUCGCCACGGACGCACUACGGCUUUGGCAUUCACCGCCACAUAGAUCCUCUUGCCCCUCUCACUUACUCGUCCAGUAGCGCCCCCCGCGCCGAGGAUCCUGGCUGCGCCGAUUCUCCUGACCCACGAGGGCAUGGCGGCCACAGAGCGCAGCGGCGGUGCGUUGGGCCUCCGGCAGUGACCCUCGGCGAUGCCAUCCUAUCACAAGGUCGCGUGCCUCUCAGCUUUGCGGGUCGGUGUGCGCGGAGUAAGAAGUACACAGGCGUGCCCUCCCCAGACAGGAAGGCGCCACGGGAUGUGCAGUCAGCGCAUACUACCCUCCUCUCUUCCUUGACUUCAUCAUCCUCGCGUUCCUCAUCUACAUCCGCUGCACCUCGAGCGAGUGAUGCGGCACCGUUCCCACUGUGCUCUCCUUCCUCCACCAGCGACUCAUCAACCCUCCGAGCGCGGGCAAGGGACGCGCUCGGCGAUUACAAGCGCCGCACACGUCUGAUUGCAGCAGAGAAGGCAGAGCUCGCCACCAUCGAAUCACAGCUGGCACUGGCACCCCACACCAAGGAUAUGGCCCACAAAAAGGCGCUAUCGAAAAGGAGGCGGUACUUGCAGCGGCGCCUUCUGGAGUGGGAGCAGCGGCGUGCGCAGAUAGCUCAGCUCGCCGUGUGGCUAGAGGGCUGCGUCAGCGCUGCCACGUCGGCGGCUGUUUCUCAAAGGGGCGCGGGUGAGCUCUAGCAGGGGUAUCGACAGUCGAGCGACGACGCAGGCCACUGGGCCAUCGACUCACAUCUGUUUUUUUUUUUCAUGGCUCGCUUUACCAUUGUGUCUUUGUGCCACUUGCCCAGCGCCGUUUUUCCGUAGCACAGCUGCACCGAGCGUCCCCUGUCUAUGGCACAACGAAGUGUGUGUGUGGGGUGGGUGGGCAUCAUCGACGUGAUGAAUGCUCUCUGCUUCGCCUUUCCUCCUGAGCGUCGACGAAUCUACUCCGACAGGGGGAGGGGGGGGGCGAUUGACGCGUUGGAAGGCAGCGCAUGCCACCAGGUGACGGUUUGACGUCUCUCUGGUCCAAGCUUCCCUCUUUCUACCUCUUGCUGCUGGAACCUCAUCACAUCUUCUCUUUCUGCUUUGCCUCUGCCGCCCCUCCGGUCACCUCUUCAUCGUAUUGGCCCGUUGCAACUGCAUGAAAUGAGCAUAG
Molecule: unclassified non-coding RNA, 4204 nt
Filed under: Leishmania donovani
Lineage: Eukaryota; Euglenozoa; Kinetoplastea; Trypanosomatida; Trypanosomatidae
Description: gene:LdHU3.31.1910(CDS-product:hypothetical_prote in_conserved)
Source: RNAcentral